UACAGAGGUCUCAAGCGUUGUUCGGAUUCAUUGGGCGUAAAGGGUGCGUAGGCGGCGCGGUAAGUCGGGUGUGAAAUCUCGGAGCUUAACUCCGAAACUGCAUUCGAUACUGCCGUGCUUGAGGACUGGAGAGGAGACUGGAAUUUACGGUGUAGCGGUGAAAUGCGUAGAUAUCGUAAGGAAGACCAGUGGCGAAGGCGGGUCUCUGGACAGUUCCUGACGCUGAGGCACGAAGGCCAGGGGAGCGAACGGG
RNAcentral lists this ribosomal RNA (253 nucleotides) under uncultured bacterium. Its description in RNAcentral is "partial 16S ribosomal RNA". It matches the Rfam family "Bacterial small subunit ribosomal RNA", at positions 524 to 776 of the family's 1533-position model. The record is from RNAcentral.